UGGGGAAUCUUGCACAAUGGGGGAAACCCUGAUGCAGCGACGCCGCGUGGGUGAUGAAGUCCUUCGGGAUGUAAAGCCCUUUCGACAGGAACGAUAAUGACGGUACCUGGAGAAGAAGCUGCGGCUAACUACGUGCCAGCAGCCGCGGUAAUACGUAGGCAGCAAGCGUUGCUCGGAGCUACUGGGCGUAAAGAGUGUGUAGGCGGUUAGGUAAGUUCGUUGUGAAAUCUCCCGGCUUAACUGGGAGGGUGCGGCGAAGACUGCCUGGCUUGAGUGCGGGAGAGGAAAGCGGAAUUCCUGGUGUAGCGGUGAAAUGCGUAGAUAUCAGGAGGAACACCUGUGGUGUAGACGGCUUUCUGGACCGUGACUGACGCUGAGACACGAAAGUGUGGGUAGCAAACAGGAUUAGAUACCCUGGUAGUCCACACCCUAAACGAUGCAUACUUGGUGUUGGCCAUUCAGUUGGUCAGUGCCGGAGCUAACGCGUUAAGUAUGCCGCCUGGGGAGUACGGUCGCAAGGCUG
Molecule: ribosomal RNA, 523 nt
Filed under: uncultured bacterium
Lineage: Bacteria
Description: bacterial SSU rRNA
Rfam family: Bacterial small subunit ribosomal RNA
Source: RNAcentral